RNAcentral lists this ribosomal RNA (389 nucleotides) under uncultured bacterium. RNAcentral describes it as "bacterial SSU rRNA". It matches the Rfam family "Bacterial small subunit ribosomal RNA", at positions 29 to 416 of the family's 1533-position model. The record is from RNAcentral.
AUUGAACGCUGGCGGAAUGCUUUACACAUGCAAGUCGAACGGCAGCACGGGAGCUUGCUCCUGGUGGCGAGUGGCGAACGGGUGAGUAACAUAUCGGAACGUACCCAGUCGUGGGGGAUAACUAUCCGAAGGAUAGCUAAUACCGCAUACGUCCUGAGGGAGAAAGCGGGGGAUCGCAAGACCUCGCGCGAUUGGAGCGGCCGAUAUCGGAUUAGCUAGUUGGUGGGGUAAAGGCUCACCAAGGCGACGAUCCGUAGCGGGUCUGAGAGGACGACCCGCCACACUGGAACUGAGACACGGUCCAGACUCCUACGGGAGGCAGCAGUGGGGGAAUUUUGGACAAUGGGGGGCAACCCUGAUCCAGCCAUUCCGCGUGAGUGAAGAAGGCC